AGAGUUUGAUCCUGGCUCAGAAUGAACGUUGGCGGCGUGGAUUAGGCAUGCAAGUCGUGCGGCAGCAGGCCCGCAAGGGCGCUGGCGAGCGGCGAAAGGGAGAGUAACACGCGGGUACCUACCCUCAGGACCGGGAUAGCUGCGGGAAACUGCAAUUAAUACCGGAUGAUGUCUCCGGACCAAAGGUGUAAUUCCGCCGGAGGAGGGGCCCACGUCCUAUCAGCUAGUUGGUGAGGUAAUGGCCCACCAAGGCGACGACGGGUACGGGGUGUGAGAGCAUGCCCCCGCUCACUGGGACUGAGACACUGCCCAGACACCUACGGGUGGCUGCAGUCGAGAAUCUUCCGCAAUGGGCGAAAGCCUGACGGAGCGACGCCGCGUGCGGGAUGAAGGCCUUCGGGUUGUAAACCGCUGUCAGUGGGGAGGAAGUGCACGGGGGUUAUCCCCUGUGUUUGACCGAUCCGCAGAGGAAGCACAGGCUAAGUUCGUGCCAGCAGCCGCGGUAACACGAACUGUGCAAACGUUAUUCGGAAUCACUGGGCUUAAAGAGUUCGUAGGCGGCGCGUUAAGUCGGGUGUGAAAGCCCUCGGCUCAACCGAGGAAUUGCGCCCGAAACUGGCGUGCUUGAGUGAGAUAGAGGUGAGCGGAACUGAUGGUGGAGCGGUGAAAUGCGUUGAUAUCAUCAGGAACACCGGUGGCGAAAGCGGCUCACUGGGUCUCAACUGACGCUGAGGAACGAAAGCUAGGGGAGCGAACGGGAUUAGAUACCCCCGGUAGUCCUAGCCGUAAACGAUGAGCAC
RNAcentral lists this ribosomal RNA (800 nucleotides) under uncultured bacterium. RNAcentral's name for it is "bacterial SSU rRNA". It matches the Rfam family "Bacterial small subunit ribosomal RNA", at positions 8 to 816 of the family's 1533-position model. The record is from RNAcentral.